Molecule: non-coding RNA, 3161 nt
Organism: Paramuricea clavata
Lineage: Eukaryota; Metazoa; Cnidaria; Anthozoa; Malacalcyonacea; Plexauridae
Source: the annotation of a GenBank genome assembly
ACGUGACGAGAUAGGGGGACGCUUCGCAGGAGUGUAAUAGAAAAUAUAUUGUUGACAUGGCUUUUGUGAUGUAUAAAUUUACGUAUUUUCGAUUGUACGCCUGAUUUGAUCACGGAUUUGAUUUAUACUUCGAAGUUCGGAAUGAUCUGAUCGUAUUCACAAGUUUUAAAGGUAUUGUUGAUUGGUUUUGAGAUAUAACCACGCUAUACUAAGUGUAUAUUCACAUAUUCCAUUCUCAAGUGUUCGAGGAUUUUCAUACUUAAAGACGAUACUUUUGGAGUUUGUCCGGGAAAAACUGCUCUGCUUUUGGUCGUGAGAGUUGCGGUAGACACAAUGAACGAUAAAAUACCCAGUGUUUUUAGGACGACUGAUGGAGAACAGCUCGAGUAGAAUUGCUAAGGCCGCUAUUAUUAAAGAGAUCUGACGUCGGUGCGAACGUAUUGAUGCGAAACAAACAAAUGAAGUAAAUUGAACUAAUAUUACAAACGUAUCAGCCCAAAUCAUGUGCCUAUGCAGCAUACUUUGGUAUUUGCUCUGCCAACAAGACAACUCCAAACAAUUUUACUUGUCAUUGAUAGUGAUUUCUAGUUGAUGUGUACUGUGUAGUGGACUAUUAAUUUAAAAGUAACAUUUGGAAUAGUCAAACUGAUAUCUGUUAUUGAAUUUUCAAAUUAGCAUCCUCAAAAAACCAUUAUGUUAUAUUGUAUGGCAUUUCUGCAUGUUCAGUUGCUAGCAGUGGCAUAGCUAGCCCGACGAUUUGGACCCGCUAUGCAAAUUUCAACUCAUCAUUAUUCACUUCUUUAGAAAUUAUAACAUUGUACCAGACUACUGUAACUACAUACUUCAGUAAGUAUAGUAAUUUAAGACUGUUGAAGAAUAUUUAUUGUCUAUCACCAUUACAUAAUCUACACAUCAACUGGAAAUGCAUGCAGAUGCACCUACUUUCAAAUUGGCAUUUUACUCUGUCUAAAGCAAUAAAAUUUUACUCAGUGGAAGAAUACUGCUGUUAAUCGGUUAUUAACAACUAUUGAUAUCCACCCUGGGAUGGUUGUUCAUUCAAUUUGGGAUUUGCAGGGUGAAGUUCUUCAAUUGGCAGAUCUCUGACCUCACUCUGAGAGGACUGACUAGUCGUGAAAUUGGCAUGCAAAAUCGUAUGGCCUAUUGGCUCUGGGUUGAACACUUGUAGAUACUUAUAGAUACUGAAUUUAAAUACACUGGAAAUAGCAAAUUGUAUACAUUGACUGGAAAUGUACAAGUUUAAUAUUCAAAGAAGAUUCUAAACCAUUUUCACAUAUGUUUUGUUCUAAUUUUUAUCAGAUUACUUUGUUUACUUUACCCAUACUUUGUUUCCAUACUGACACCACCCAAUUUUACUUGUCAUUGGCAAUCUGGCAGUGCCGCUUGUUAAUUCACUAGUGGGUGAGCUGGCAAUGUGUCCAGCAAAUGCACCCUACAUUAUAUUUUUUUGAAAGAGAAGCAAUUGCAAGUUAAUGGUUAAUUCAUUAGGGCCAUGCAGGGAUGCCUGCCAAAACCUGCCUUCCAGGUUCAACAUGUCUUAGGGGCUGAUGACAUGGGGAGUUUUCAGCCCGGGCUGUAUUUCAACCCAGUUAACCGAGCUGAAAUUGUUUCACGAUUACAUGACAAAGUUCAGCCUGGGGUGAGUUAGAAUUUCAAUUCAAACCGGGGUGAAAUCUCAGCCCGGGCCGAAAGAAUGAAGUCUCAAAAUGGAGGUAUUCUGCUUCUUUGGAGAAUUUAAAAUGUUGAUCAUAUCUAUUGACUUCUGCAAGAGUGUGGUUGCAUUUAAAAGUAGAACAGACAGAAAUAAAGCCACUUAAAUGCUGUUUUUUCAACCUGGGUUGAAUUUUCCUGUCGAUUACAUGGCAAUUUUCAGCCCGGCCGACCGGGUUGAAAUUUUCAGCCCGGGUAGCUCCAACCGGGCUAAAACUUCAGCACCAGCUGAAAUUUCUGUCAUGCAAUCAUUUGCUGUGUUUUAAUAGGAUUUUAUCCUCAGGCCGGGCUGAAAUUUCUUAAUUUCAGGCCGGGAAACCAGGAUGAAACUCAGCCAUGCUGAAAUAUUCUCCAUAUAAUCAGCUCCUUAACCAGGUUUGAAUUGUUUGGUUUGAUAAGGCCUGUAUGAUGACUAUAUCAUGAUAGCAGUGUAAUUGUGAAAACCUAACCAACUAACCAUAGAGGCAUUUGUAAAUAAUAUAUUAGUUUUGGGAGUCAUAAAUUUGCCAACCCAUUGUUAUAUUUUCAAACCUAUGGUUCAAUUAAUCUGAAUAUGAAAACAGAGUUAUUGCAGAAGAUAAAUGAAUUGUAUAGUUACAAAUUUUAUAAAAUAUAUAAUAUCACUUUCUUUUCACUACUGUUUUACAGUAAGGCAAAGGCUUUACCACGUUUUGCAUCGUUUUCAUACUCGAUAAUAUAAUCUUUGGCACGGUUGAAUUCACCCGACUUUUUUAUAUCGCAUCCCACAUUGUUUCCUAUGAUCGCAAUGUACUUUUCACAACGUAUAGCUUCUACAAUGUCAAUCAACUAAAGAAGUAAAUGCACCUUUAUAUAUAAACACAUAGAUACUUCGUACAAUAGAUUCCCCAUGACCAUGUGUUGUAAAGUGUUUUGAAUUACUAGCUAUAUGCCUUGUAAUUUGGCACUAAGGCCGCAAAUUUGUCGCACACAUACUGUAGCACUGAAAAGACUUCUCACUGUCGAUUGGGCAGCAGAAAAAUCAGUAUUUAAUACAACUGUUUUUCUUCCGCUAAUAGUAACAGGGGCCUCGAUGCUAUAAAAAUCUUCGUCUAUAAAUCUACGUAUUCGCUCUCUCGUUCAUCUUCCAAAUGAUACCGUCAUUUCCGAUCGUUGAAAACUCUCUUUGCUUUUAUUAUUACUGUUUUCAAAUGUCUGCAUUGAUGAAGAAAUCACUCCUCUUUCGAUAUCACUAUCCAUCGUUAUUAUAAAUGCUCCAAAAGAUACAAAAAUGCUUUUAUUAUCAGUAUUAACCCAACACUUUCAAUAUAAUUUCCUACAAAUGUCAACACAAGCGUCCCCCUAUCUCGACACGUGACAUUUUUUUCCUUUGUGCUCAACAUAGUUUGCCGCCCCCUUUGAAGUUUGCCGGCUAGCCUAACCAUCCUCCUUCUAUUAACCGUGGUUAUACGUAA